AAAAGACUUAGUCCUAACCUUACCGUUAGUUCUUGCUAGAUUUAUACAUGCAAGUAUCCGCGUCCCAGUGUAAAUGCCCUUACCUCUUACCAAGACAAAAGGAGCAGGCAUCAGGCACGCCUUAAAACAUCGCAGCCCAAGACGCCUUGCUUGGCCACACCUCCACGGGUAUUCAGCAGUAAUUAACAUUAAGCGAUAAGUGUAAACUUGACUUAGUCAUGGCAACUAUUUAGGGCUGGUAAAUCUUGUGCCAGCCACCGCGGUCACACAAGAAGCCCAAACUAACUGUAAUACGGCGUAAAGAGUGGUGUAUGCACUAUCACUACAUCUAGAAUCAAAGUGUAUCUAAGCUGUCAUAAGCUCAAGCUACAUCUAAGACCCCCAUUAAAAUUAUUCUAGUAGACCAGGAUAGACCAGAUCCACCAAAGCUAGGGCACAAACUGGGAUUAGAUACCCCACUAUGCCUAGCCCUAAAUCUUGAUGUUUGACUCUACCAAAACAUCCGCCUGAGAACUACGAGCACAAACGCUUAAAACUCUAAGGACUUGGCGGUGCCCCAAACCCACCUAGAGGAGCCUGUUCUAUAAUCGAUACUCCACGCUACACCCAACCGCCUCUAGCCCAAAGCAGCCUACAUACCGCCGUCGUCAGCCUACCUCUACUGAGAGUUCAGCAGUGAGCACAAUAGCCUUACCCGCUAACAAGACAGGUCAAGGUAUAGCUUAUGGGGCGGAAGAAAUGGGCUACAUUUUCUACUCAUAGAAUACACGAAAAGAGGCAUGAAAAUGCCUCUAGAAGGUGGAUUUAGCAGUAAAGAAGAGUAAUAAAAUCUCCUUUAAAUCGGCCCUGGGGUACGUACAUACCGCCCGUCACCCUCCUCAAAUGCCUCAAAUUUCCAUAACUAAUAUGUUCUAGAGCUAAAGAUGAGGUAAGUCGUAACAAGGUAAGUGUACCGGAAGGUGUACUUAGCAUAUC
Molecule: non-coding RNA, 975 nt
Filed under: Ceuthmochares aereus
Lineage: Eukaryota; Metazoa; Chordata; Aves; Cuculiformes; Cuculidae
Description: 12S ribosomal RNA
Rfam family: Bacterial small subunit ribosomal RNA
Source: RNAcentral